Molecule: small nucleolar RNA, 130 nt
Filed under: Tinamus guttatus (white-throated tinamou)
Lineage: Eukaryota; Metazoa; Chordata; Aves; Tinamiformes; Tinamidae
Description: Small nucleolar RNA SNORA44
Rfam family: Small nucleolar RNA SNORA44
About the family: ACA44 is a member of the H/ACA class of snoRNA that guide the sites of modification of uridines to pseudouridines.
Source: Rfam by way of RNAcentral
CUGCGUGUUCAGCCAAGAGCGGCGUCUCCCGAAGCAGCCCCCGCUCUCCAACAACACGCGAGAGCAACCGGAGGGUCUUUGACUGCCGGGCCGCUUCUGCCCGUCACUGUCACUCGCCCCUCCUAUAUGU